CAGGGGUUUACACGGGCGAUGCAUGGACGACUAAGGAGGCUGAUUUGUGCAGCUUUAGCCGCCACAGUAGUGUUCAGUUUGAUGACUUACUUCGACCCGGUUUCCUUAUGAUUUCAUCACAAGGUUCAGGAGACCGAGAUCCAGCUUACAAGCGCACAAACAGUGGGAAACGUGCAUCAACCAGCGACACAGAACUGGCCGACUAUUUCCAGUUCAACCCUAAACGGCAUCGAUUGGGAUGUCGGUGUACAGAGACUUGAUCCAAUUGUUAACAGUGAACCAUGCAGUGGAACUAUUAACGAUUCACGUCGCACCACCUUAUUCAAGGACUAUGACAAGGUGCAACACUACUUAGAUGACUUUUUCGUUAGCAUGGCAGACAUUAACGCGCUUCCCACGGACGCAGAUCCGGUGUUCUUAACCGGUGUUUCGUCCAAUCACUUUCGAGAGUCCAUGGAUAUGUUUAACAACUUCAACUCUGUGGUGCGCAAGAUGAAACCGAAUUUGCGGAUGAUUUUCUUUGACUUAGGUCUGCAGGCCGGCGAACCAGACCAAAUAAAAGCAAUUUGUCAGUGCGAAUACAGGCUGUUUCCGUUUGAAAAAUUCCCGGCGUAUGUAAAGGAGCUAAAAGGGUAUGCGUGGAAACCGUUGUCAAUAAUG
Molecule: long non-coding RNA, 660 nt
Organism: Dreissena polymorpha
Lineage: Eukaryota; Metazoa; Mollusca; Bivalvia; Myida; Dreissenidae
Exons: 5
Source: RefSeq, a predicted model, not a curated record